This 80-nucleotide transfer RNA is filed under the name Crassvirales sp. RNAcentral's name for it is "tRNA-Leu". It matches the Rfam family "tRNA". Rfam says of the family: Transfer RNA (tRNA) molecules are approximately 80 nucleotides in length. Their secondary structure includes four short double-helical elements and three loops (D, anti-codon, and T loops). Further hydrogen bonds mediate the characteristic L-shaped molecular structure. tRNAs have two regions of fundamental functional importance: the anti-codon, which is responsible for specific mRNA codon recognition, and the 3' end, to which the tRNAs corresponding amino acid is attached (by aminoacyl-tRNA synthetases). tRNAs cope with the degeneracy of the genetic code in two manners: having more than one tRNA (with a specific anti-codon) for a particular amino acid; and 'wobble' base-pairing, i.e. permitting non-standard base-pairing at the 3rd anti-codon position. Lineage: Duplodnaviria; Heunggongvirae; Uroviricota; Caudoviricetes; Crassvirales. The record is from RNAcentral.
GCCCCAAUGGUGGAAUGGUAGACACGCCUGCCUUAGGAGCAGGUGCCUAAAGCGUGUAGGUUCGAAUCCUACUUGGGGUA